This 1127-nucleotide ribosomal RNA is filed under the name Pomphorhynchus kashmirensis. RNAcentral describes it as "SSU rRNA". It matches the Rfam family "Eukaryotic small subunit ribosomal RNA", at positions 86 to 1221 of the family's 1831-position model. Lineage: Eukaryota; Metazoa; Acanthocephala; Palaeacanthocephala; Echinorhynchida; Pomphorhynchidae. The record is from RNAcentral.
ACCGCGAAUGGCUCAUUACAUCAGUCGUAGUUUAUGGGACAAUAUGACAGGUGGAUAACUGUGGAAAAUCUAGAGCUAAUACAUGCACAAAAGUCCUGACGCAAGAAAGGACGCAUUUAUCAGAUCAAAGCCAACGUUUUCGUAAGAAAACAAAACUGUGACGACUCUGGGUAAAUUUUCGGAUUGCCCCGCCUAGAGCGGGCGACGUUGAUUGCAAGUGUCUGACCUAUCAACUUUUGAUGGCAGUCGAUAUUACUGCCAUGGUUGUAACGGGUAACGGGGAAUCAGGGUUCGAUUCCGGAGAGAGAGCAUGAGAAACGGCUGUCACAUCCAAGGAAGGCAGCAGGCGCGCAAAUUACCCAAUCCCCGAUCGGGGAGGUAGUGACGAGAAGUAGCGAUGCCGCAAUCUUUUGAUUCGGCAAUUGAAAUGAGAACAAUGAAAGAAUUUUAUCGAGAAUCUAUUGGAGGGCAAGUUCUGGUGCCAGCAGCCGCGGUAAUUCCAGCUCGAAAAGCGUAUGUUAAAGUUGCUGCGGUUAAAACGCUCGUCGUUGGACAUCAGGAAAUGGUCCGUGGACGGCCUAGAGUCGCUACCACGGAUUCACUCCUUUUUAUGCCAGUUCAUCGUUGAUGCACUUUAGUGUGUGUCGCGGUAGAAGGUCAAUGUCACUUUGAGAAAAUUAGUGUGCUCAACGCAGGCUUUAUGCUUGUAUAAUGCUGCAUGGGAUGACGGAAUAGGGCCUCGGUUCCGUUUCGUUGGUUUACGAAAGCAGAGGUCAUGAUUAAUCGGGACAGACGGGGGCAUUCGUAUUGCGGUGCUAGAAGUGAAAUUCUGUGACCAUCGCAAGACGGACAACUGCGAAAGCAUUUGCCAAGAAUGUUUUCAUUAAUCAAGAACGAAAGUUAGAGGAUCGAAGACGAUUAGAUACCGUCCUAGUUCUAACUGUAAACUAUGCCGACUGGGGAUUCGCCAGUGCAAUUUAGCUUGGCGAGCACCCUCCGGGAAACCAAAGUGAUUGGGUUCCGGGGGGAGUAUGGUUGCAAAAUCGAAACUUAAAGGAAUUGACGGAGGGGCACACCAGAAGUGGAGCCUGCGGCUUAAUUUGACUCAACGCGCGAAAGCUUACCCG